GAGGAUCCUAAACAUGUAGCGAAAUUUGCUGAACCUUUUAACGUUUUGGCCUCUGGGAUUAUAUCAAUUCCCAUCGACUUGCCAGGAACACCUUUCAACCGUGGCAUCAAGGCUUCAAACCUGAUAAGGAAAGAAUUGAGCGCCAUUAUCAAACAAAGGAAGAUUGAUCUUUCAGAGAAAAAAGCAUCUCCUACACAAGACAUACUGUCACAUAUGUUGUUAACAACCGAUGAGAAUGGGCAGUACAUGAAGGAAUUGGACAUAGCCGAUAAGAUUCUUGGUUUGCUCAUUGGAGGUCAUGAUACUGCAAGUGCUGCUAUCACUUUCAUCGUCAAGUACCUUGCUGAACUCCCAGAGAUCUACCACAAAGUGGUCACAGGUAAUCUUUUAUUAAAAGCAAAAAGACUUCAUUCAAAUUGAUAUCUAUAUAUCUUUAUUCAAAUCUAAUCACAUAUUUUGUGCUAACAACAUUGUUAAACGUGGCAGUCCAUUUCUCUUAAAUGUUAUACUCCGUUCUUACACUUUUCUUUUACCACUUAAAUGUUUUUUCAUUUUGCAAUUCUAUUCUCACCGUUAAUAAUUUUUUGCAAUUAUUUAUUGAAAUCAAUCUCAGUAUCCAUAGAUCCUUUUUCCUUAUUUUUUUGUAUUAAAAUUUUAAAAUAUUUUUAAGCUAAUAAUAUUUAAUGAUGUUUAAUGCUAAAAAAAAAAGCAAUAAUUUGAAGGCAUACAAUAGAGUGGGACUAAAAUUUUAAAGUAUUUAAUGAUGUUUAAUGCCAAAAAAAUUAAAAAAAAAAAAGGUGAAAACAUAUAGUAUAUAGAAUACAGUAAGAGCAUCAAGUAUUUAAAAAAUAAAAGAAUCAUCCCAAGGUAGAUGAUGAACAAAGAGAAUGCAAUAAAAGCAAAUUAUAAUUAAAUUGCAAGUUGUUAGUUAUUAUGGUACUCGAGACUUCUGAUAUCUUGAUUUUUUCCAUAUUCCUUCACUAUAUGCUCUUGACCAGAUGAAAUAAAAACAAAGUAGCAUCGAUAUAUGCACGCUUUUAGUCAGCAUAUUGAACCUUUGCUCUGAUUCUUGCUUUGAAUAUCUUAAUGUUGAUACUUUAAUUUUUUCCAUAGUUGAUUUUGAACUGACCAAUUCAGGGAAUUUGUUUAGUAUUAAAUCUUGUUUGUUCUGAAGGUUUGGGACCAUGAUGAUGUCCUUCCCUUAGGCUUAGCAAACUCAGUGUUCACACCUUAAAAUGACCAAAGUGCCCUUACUUCGGUACAAAGAUCAAUUAGUUGCAAGCAAAAUGUAACAAAGAGGGAAGAUAUUUGUCAAAUACACUUACAAAGGAGUUUUUUUAAUUUUACAAAUAGAGUUAAAAUCAAGUUUACUGUCAGUAUAUCGAAUAAUUUUUCAUAUAUAUAAAUAUAUAUAUAUAUAUUAUAUAUGUUUGACCAGGUUCCAUAUCCACCAAUUUGAUUUAGCAAUUUAGAAGAGACUCGGUACUGUAGAAUUCUUUAAAGUAUAUACACUUGAAGAUAAAGGAAUAAGAUGCAGCUUGAUAUUUCUGUCAAUUUGUGUUUACAGAGCAAGUAGAGAUUGCAAAAUCAAAAGCCCCAGGAGAGUUGCUGAAUUGGGAAGACAUUCAAAAGAUGAGGUACUCAUGGAAUGUGGCAUGUGAAGUAAUGCGUCUUGCUCCCCCGCUCCAAGGAGCUUUUAGAGAAGCCCUGAACGAAUUCAUCUAUGCAGGCUUCACCGUUCCAAAGGGCUGGAAGGUCAGUGAAAAACUUAACCAAAUUUGAAAUAGACUAAAGCACAUUUGUUCAUAUUGAUCAUACAAUAUCGACUAUUAUUUUUCUUAUAAUUAAAUCUAUAAUUCUAUAGUUGUACUGGAGUGCGCAUUCAACCCAUAGAAAUCCGGAAUGCUUCCCAGAGCCUGAGAAGUUUGACCCAUCAAGGUUCGAAGGGACUGGACCAGCUCCUUACACAUUUGUUCCUUUUGGAGGAGGACCAAGAAUGUGUCCAGGGAAGGAGUAUGCCCGCCUGGAAAUACUAGUUUUCAUGCACAAUAUUAUCAAGAGGUACAAAUGGGAAAAGCUUCUUCCUGGUGAGAAGAUCAUUGUAGACCCAAUGCCAACACCAGCAAAAGGGCUGCCGGUUCGCCUCUUUCCUCAAACCCACGUCCUGCCUAGUUUUUUGCCAUAGCUUUUCCCAAUUAUGUGAUCGUUUCCACGGCUCAAUGUCUAAAGUCAUCAGGCAUUUACAGCCAAGGGUUGUGUAAUAGUUGUAAUUGAAAAACAUUUUCUGCCAAUUAUGUGAUCGCUUCCAACGCUCAAUUUGUACUGAAGUCUAAUGACUUCAGUGCUGUUGUUGCCCAUUUGUAGUGAAAAAAAAAAAGUGCUUGUGUAAUAUUUGUAUUGAAAAAAAAUGUAAUAAGGAGUCUAUCUAGCCUUAAGUAAAAAUGUAAUAUUCGUAUUUCCUAAGCUUUCUAUAGAACAGAAAUUUCUAAUUUUUACAAGCAUGAAAAUAAAAAAAUAAAAAACAAUAUGACGGAGGUAUUAUCCAUUAAUGUUAGUUAUCCUUUUAACCAAUUAAAUGUGAAACAAUUUGAAAAUAUUGCGCCUGAAACAAUAAUCACAACAAUACAGAAGGCAAUAGACAACAAAUUAAUAAUAAAAAAUGCAGGAAAAAUAAAGUACACUAAGAUUUACGUAAAAAAUCCUCUAGUGUAGAGGGAAAAAAUUUACGGACUCACCAGAAAAAUCUUCACUAUCAAUAAUAGGUAUAACAAAAUUCUUCUCUAGCUAAAACUAAGAGCUAAUCAAUAAUUAGAGAAACAAUUAGAGAAUCUCACCAAUAAGUGACUCAACAAAUAAACCCUGGAUUUGUUCCUAGAGAGCUUCAAACUCGAUCUUCACCGUUUAGAAUGUAGAACUCUGAUCAUAAAGCUCUUGACAAGGUUCCAACUCAAUCGGACCACGGAUUGACUUCCGUUCAACCAACUCUCCCUUUUCCCUUUUUCUCUCUGUUUUUCUUGGCUUUUCUUCUUUCCUCUACUUGGUUUUUUGACACACUUAAAGUAACCUACUUCUUUUUAUUAAGUAGUUAGAACUCUGUAUAAAAUGAAAAAUCAAGGUCAUGAUCUUUACUUGAUCCAAAAUCACUUACAUGAGAUUGGAACUUCAUUUUUUUAUCAGAAAACAUAAUUGAAUUCGAGACGUGAAGAACAUAGAUAUUUGAGUUAAAUUUAUUAUCCAAAAAUUCAAACUUUGAUCGGAUUCUCGAUUCCUCCAUUUAAGUUAGAUUUAUUAUUAAUAUAUUGAACAAUUUUAGAAUUAAAAUUAAUUACAAUAUAUUAUUUAAUAAUAUAGCAAUAUUGUUUGGUCAGGCUCCAACUUGAAAUCAAAUCUUGUUUAUUAUAAAGUAAGUCAAGCCCACUUACAAAUUUGACAAAUAGUUCAACCUCUAAAACUCUAGGUUUCAGCGAUUUUCCAAUAAAUUUUCACAUGUUUUAAAUGAAAUAAACGGAAAAAGUUUUGAUUUUUACUAGCCUUUUCCUAGCUAUUUUUCUCAUUUCUUUCCACCUUAAUUAAACAUGAGAAACGAAAUGAUUGAAAAUUUCUUAUUCUUUUUCUCAAAAAGCCCACAAUGAAUGAAUUAUAUAGGAGAGGCGUUUAGUGUGAAGGGUAAUCAUUUUUUUUGAGAUGGAGGAGCUAGUGGGGGAAGAAAAAUUUUUAAAAGUUGUCACAUGCCUUUGGAUGAAGAUAAAAGAGAGAAGAAAUUAUAAGAAUGAAAGAACAUAUCAACUGGAAUGAAAGCCUUGGCACAUUUAGAGUCAAAAACCCUUCAUUUAGUGCUUUUCGUACUUUUGAUACUGACUUUGGAUACCCCCUGUUACACUUAAAAGAUUCACCUAAACCGACCCUAACCUUAGUCCAUCCUAGGAGGAGCGUAAAGAUUGGUUUGCGGAAAUACGAAUUUAGUCAAAGCUUGAGGCUGAACCAAAAAUUAUUUCCUAAGCUUCCUAAUAGAACAGAAAAUUUCUAAUUUCUGCAAGCAUUGAAAAUAAAAAAUAAAAAACAAUAUUACGGAGGUCUUAAUCCAAUAGCGUUAGUUAUCCUUUUUCCAAUUUAAAUGUGAAAUAAUUUGAAAAGAAAGUUGAGAAUUGAGAUGCGUAGAACAUAGAGAUUUGAGUUAACUCGGUAUGAAAAAUUAGUUAAUGCGCUUGGCUUCGCCGAGGAAAAUUUAUAGUGAAUUAAUUGUCAAAUAUAAUUUUAAAUUAUAUUACAUAUUAAAUAAUUAUUAUUAUUAUUUAAAUAAAUUUUAUUUUUGUAUAUUUUAAUAUUUGUAUUGAUAUUAAUAUAAUCAUAUUUUAUUAAUAAAAAAUUUUAAAUAUUUAAAAAAUAAUUAUUUUACAAAUUAUAUAAUACAAACGUAUUGACUUGAAAAUAAAUAUUAAUUUAUUAUUAUUGAAAUUUUAUUUAAAAUUUUUUAUUAAAUCAAUCAAAUUUUUUUAAAAAUUUCACAUAAAAUUUUUUUAAAAAAAUCAAUCAUUUGUAAUUUCUAAAAAUUUAGUUAUUUAAAUAAUUAUCAUUUACUUUCAAAGUUAUCAUUAACUUUUUUUUUGUCUUUUUAUCUCUUCUUUCUCUCUAGAAUAGGAUGAACUUUGGACCAGAAACAUCAAACAUUUCUAAAUUCCGAUGACAUUUUUCAUAUUUCAGCAAACAUUUGUCAUUGUUGCCAUCAUUUGUCGUUGAUGGUAACUGUCACCAAUGCUAAAAAUUUCAAAAAAAAAAAAAUUUUGAAAUCUUAAUUUUUUCUAACUUUUCUUUUCCUUUUCUUUUCCAACUUCAAUUUUUUCUAAAAGAAAUCUUAAUUAAUCUUAGAUCUAAACUCUAAGCCACAAUUCAAAACCUAAAAAAAAAAUUAAAAUAAAAACUUAUCUUCGUCACUCAAAAACUCCAACUUUUUGUAUAUUUUUCCCCUCUCUUUGGCCUUCUUUUUUGGCAAAUAUUAAAAAGAAAAAAAAGCUUCAUUAAUUUAUAAAUUCUAUUUUUUAUAAAAAUUUUAUUGAAAAGAUAUAUAUAUAUAUAUAUAUAUUAUAUCAUUAGUAUUCCAAGAACCAAUACACAACUUUUUCUUGACUGAACAAAAAAAAAUAUUGAGAAAUAUAUUUUAUUUCAAAAUUUAUGCAAAUUAAAAAUAACAUAAAACUUAAAAUAUCUUGAAUUUUUAAAAAUCGAUAAAUCAAUUUAAACAGAAGAAAUUUGAUUUAGGUUGACUCAAUUAGGAAAAGCAAUUUGAUUCAAUUUUGGUUUGGUUUUUGACAAACAAAAAUAUUGCGCAUUAGCCAUAAUAUUUGUUUAAAAUUGAGUCAAAUUCGAACCCUAAUCAACCUUAAUAAUCACUUACUAUAAAGGUAAAUAAUUUUACAUUACCAAUUGACACAAUAUAAGAGAGAUAUUGUGCAUCAAUUUAACUUUUAAAAAAAUAUAUAUGUGAUUUUUUAGAAGUAAAACAUAAGGAUAUUUUUAUACUUGUUAUAACGUAUAGAUUCGUAAACCCAUUUUAAACAUACACUUUAGGAGUUAUCACCAAUUUUGUUAUUUAGAUGUGAUUAGACAACUAACCAAAUCUAUCCCAUUUUAAAGAUAAAUUUUAAGUUUGAUUAAAGAGAAAUCCUAUGUUUGAUUUAAGUAUUUUUUAAAUAGUAGAUUUUAGUCUUCCUAACUAAAUUUAGGUUCAGAAGUGCGAUUAUGCAUGAGGAGAGUUAUAACACUCUCAUAACGUUCAUCCAAAAGAUGAUACCAAUUUGAUUUCAAGUUAUCCAAACUUUAAAACAUCUUUAUAAUUUACCAAAUAAUUUAAUUAUUGAAGAUCUUAAAAUUACUCUAAUAGUUUGGUAGCAAUUUAAGAUAAUUUUUUCACCUUAAAAGUAUUCAUAGAGACUAGUAUCCCACUCUGAAGAGAUUGCAUCAUGGGAUUCAGUUUUUCUUUUGUAAAAAAAAUUUUAUUUGUGAUAAUGAGAUUUUGAACUUGGGUAUAAAAAAUUAUUAUAUAAAUUCUUCAAUAUGUUGGUAAAAUUUUAAAAAUAUUUUUUCAUUUAAAAAUUUACAUAAAGAAUGUUAUUUGUAGUGCUUUUAGUAUUCUAUCAUUGGAGAUUCACAAUCUAUUUUUUAUAAAAAUAAUUUAUUUUCAGAAUAUGUUAGUAAGAUUUUCUGUCAAAAAUUAUCUUCCAAUAUGUUAGUAGGAUUGAAAAAUUAUUUGUUUAAAAAAAAUUCAUUUAAAUCAUUCAAUACUUUGGUAGGAUUGAAAAGUUGUUCUUUGGACAACCCUUUCUCUUUAAAUUUAAAAAAUUAUUAANNNNNNNNNNNNNNNNNNNNNNNNNNNNNNNNNNNNNNNNNNNNNNNNNNNNNNNNNNNNNNNNNNNNNNNNNNNNNNNNNNNNNNNNNNNNNNNNNNNNNNNNNNNNNNNNNNNNNNNNNNNNNNNNNNNNNNNNNNNNNNNNNNNNNNNNNNNNNNNNNNNNNNNNNNNNNNNNNNNNNNNNNNNNNNNNNNNNNNNNNNNNNNNNNNNNNNNNNNNNNNNNNNNNNNNNNNNNNNNNNNNNNNNNNNNNNNNNNNNNNNNNNNNNNNNNNNNNNNNNNNNNNNNNNNNNNNNNNNNNNNNNNNNNNNNNNNNNNNNNNNNNNNNNNNNNNNNNNNNNNNNNNNNNNNNNNNNNNNNNNNNNNNNNNNNNNNNNNNNNNNNNNNNNNNNNNNNNNNNNNNNNNNNNNNNNNNNNNNNNNNNNNNNNNNNNNNNNNNNNNNNNNNNNNNNNNNNNNNNNNNNNNNNNNNNNNNNNNNNNNNNNNNNNNNNNNNNNNNNNNNNNNNNNNNNNNNNNNNNNNNNNNNNNNNNNNNNNNNNNNNNNNNNNNNNNNNNNNNNNNNNNNNNNNNNNNNNNNNNNNNNNNNNNNNNNNNNNNNNNNNNNNNNNNNNNNNNNNNNNNNNNNNNNNNNNNNNNNNNNNNNNNNNNNNNNNNNNNNNNNNNNNNNNNNNNNNNNNNNNNNNNNNNNNNNNNNNNNNNNNNNNNNNNNNNNNNNNNNNNNNNNNNNNNNNNNNNNNNNNNNNNNNNNNNNNNNNNNNNNNNNNNNNNNNNNNNNNNNNNNNNNNNNNNNNNNNNNNNNNNNNNNNNNNNNNNNNNNNNNNNNNNNNNNNNNNNNNNNNNNNNNNNNNNNNNNNNNNNNNNNNNNNNNNNNNNNNNNNNNNNNNNNNNNNNNNNNNNNNNNNNNNNNNNNNNNNNNNNNNNNNNNNNNNNNNNNNNNNNNNNNNNNNNNNNNNNNNNNNNNNNNNNNNNNNNNNNNNNNNNNNNNNNNNNNNNNNNNNNNUGGAUGAAAAUGAGAAAAAAAAAGAGAUGAUGAAAAAAAAUAAAAAAAAAUAAAGAAAGAAGAAAAAAAUGAGAAAAUGAAAAAAGAGAUUCAAAUUGAAAACCUGAAAGGGUGAUUUAAGUAGAAAAAGAUCCAGGUCAAAUGGUUCACAUGAAUGAAAGAUCAAAGAUCUGAAGAUCCCUUAAAGACUGGGGCAAAGUUCGCCAAGCUCAAGAUGACUUCAACAGUAAAUAGAAUAAGUUUUUGAAAAAGAAUCCUAGAUUAAUGUUGAGAAUUGUCUGAAUAUUCAUCAUUUGGACAUACCAUUCAUCCCAAUGACAUGUAUCCAAUUUAUUUCCUUUCCCAUUUAUUUUGUACCAAAUAGAUCUUCAUUGAUUAUCUUUACCAUAAUUCACCUUGUGUUCUCUUAUUGUUACACCCCUAGAAUGAAUUGAAAAAAUGCUUGAUUGCAUUGUAUUUAUCGAGAAUUGAAAUGAUAAUGAAUGAAUGAAUAUGUGUUUAAAAGAGUAUUGCAUUCAUUUGAAAAGAAAUCUAAGAUGACGGUGGUAGAAACCUAAAAGCGAUGAUUUGAAAGGAUAUAUGAUGUGACCGAAUGGAGAAUAUGAUGGGGCAAAUCUUGAAAAGUGGUAUAACCAAGUGAUGAGUACAAGGAUGAAUUGGUCGAUAUGACUUGCAAGUUAUGAUUGAAUGAUGAAAACAAUCAGUGGACAAAGUUUGUUUUGGAAUGGUUAAUGCUGAGACACCUAUAAAUAAUGACUUAGUAACGGUGGAUGAAACUUGUUCUGAAAUUUUUUUUAGUGCUGAGAAUUCUAUGAAUGGUGGUCAAGUGAUGAUCGAUUGAUAAAACUUAUUCCAAAGUAUUGAGAAACUGAACAAGGAAGACAUACGAAAAUGGUGGAGUUUUGAGAGCCAUAUUACCACAAUUAUUUAAGAUUCCAUGACAUUAUUGACGUCUGCAUUACAUGCAUCAUGGGGGCAUCAUUGCUUGAAUAAUACAUGCACAUAAUUUGAUUGGAUAUGAAUGGCACUAUGAGAUAUAGGUUAUUGUAUUUGCAUUAUUACAAAGGCAUCUACAUCUUUGGUCAUAACAUUCAUUCAUGCAAAUUUUUGAGUCACUUGAAAAAAAAUUAUGAAUAUUUUGAUGAAAAUUUUUGAGAACUUCAAAUGAGAAUCUUUGAGGAGUGGAAAACCCUAAAGUUCAUCGAAUGUGAAUCUUUGGAACAAAUGGAAAAGUUUUGAACUUUUGGAUGGUGGAUCCUGCCAAUAGUACAAACUUCAACCCUUUUGGAUAUGAAUUCCUAAUGUUUUUAAAUGAGAGCCUUUGAAAUUAGAUGGUUAAACUCUAAGUUUUAUUGCAUAUGAGGCCUUUGAACUCAAAUGAAAAGCUUUUGAAUUUUUGGAUGGUGAAUUUUCCAAAAUUUUAAUGAAAAGCUUAGGACUUUUGGAUAUGAAUUCCAAGUUGCCAAAUAAGAAUCUUUUAAAAAGCUUUUGAACUUUUGGAUGUGAGCCUUCAAAAUUCAAAUGAGGAUUUUUUAUGCGAGUUUUACAAGUUACAAAUGCAAAUCUUGAGAUCUUGCAAAUUUGAGAAGAAAUUUGUUAGGUAAGUUCCUAAUUCUUGAAAUAGGAUGUCUUUUGGUAUCAAGAUUGAUUUGUAAGACUUUUGGGCAUAAUCUCCUGAAAUUCCUUCAAACACAAGACAUGAUUGUCGAUGAGCAAUUUACUUUUUCAAAGUCGUGGUGCCUCUGUUUAGAGGAGCAAUUUACUUUCCAAAGUCGUGCGUGGUCUUCUGUUUAGAGGAGUAAUUUACUUUCCCAAAGUCGUGGUGCUUAUAUUUAGAGGAGCAAUUUAUUUUUUUUCAAAGUUGUUGAGCCUCUGAUUAGACGAGCCAUUUAUGUUUCUCAAAGUCAUUGAGCCUCUACUAGAGGAGCUUUGAUCAAAAACAAAAAAAAAAUAAAAAAAAAAACAAAAAGUGAAAAGGUCGAGUUGAGUCUUUAUUGGGUGUUUACGUCUUUGCGCAAUUUCUGUUUUACAGAAAAUGUGCAAAGAAGGGCAGCUGUAGACACCCAAUUUGGUCCAAGCUCGGAUCAAUUGGGCCUGGUCCAAAUGGGUAAGCCCCAAUUUUGUUUUAUAUUUUUGUUAUUUUUAUUUUAUAUUUUAUGUAUAUAUUUUCCUUUAUAUCCUAUGUAUUUAUUAUUUAUUUAUUAUUACUAUUUAUUAAUAUAUAUUUUUAUUUUAUUUUAUUUUAUUUUUUUUCUCUUUCUCAUUUUAUUUUAUAUGUAUUUUUAUUUAUCUAAUAUUUAUCUGUUAUUUGUAUUUUUUUAUUUAUCUUAUAAUAUUAUUGUUGAUUUAUCUUAUUAUUAUUUUUUUACUUAUCUAUUAAUUUUUUUUAUCUGAUUUUUAUUUUGGAAGGCUGAGAUUGAAUUCUGUUGAAGAAUCCUACUGAGAAUGAAGAUUCAAUCAAAAUCCAGAUUGGAUUCAAAAAUUGAAUCUCCGUCCAAAAAAGAAUAUGGAUUGAUCAGAAACUCUUCUGAUCAAUCCCUAUAAAUAGAUACAGAACACAAAAGCAAAGGGACAAAAAACCAAUGAGCAAAAAGCUACUGAUUUGAGAGAAAAGAGGCGUAUAGAAGAGUAUAGAAGGCUAAGAAAAUGUUUAGAAGUGUUCUAGGAGUUAGCAAAAUUUUUUGAAGAUUUUUUGUGAUUUUUUUUCUAGGAAUUUCUGGAAAAUUCUAGAUUUCGGUUGAAUUUUUCGACGAAAGUUGCAUUUUUCGACAACGAUUCCAGCCAACUUUGAAGUUUUCGACGAGCUGUCCAGUUUCUGGCGAAUGAUCCAGAAAUCGAUCAACUUUCUGGCGAACGUUCGUUUAACUUCUGACGAAAAAUCUAGAUUCUGACAAAAAAUCCUAGAAUCCGAUGAAUAUUUAACCGGAGUUUUUCGAUCGUUUAGAGAGAAGCGAGAGAAAACGGAAAGAAGAGAGAAAGGGGAGAGAAGGUUUCUAUCGAAAAACAGAGGGAAGAGCCUUAUAUACCCUCCCAAAAUGACGUCAUUUUUGCCUUAAGUAACCUAGAGGAUUCGCGUAUUUUGCCGAGAUCCGACCCGACCCGAGCAUCGACACGCUUUUGGACCCGCGCGUGUUCCCCCCUCCGAGCCGAUAGCCGAGCAAGCCAAGGUCCUAAGCCGUUUCUCUGAGCCGUUUUCUCUUCCUUGAGUCGAGCCGAGUCGAGCCAUACUCCGAGCCGUUUUAGGUUUUUUUUUUAUUUAUUUGUUUAUUUAUUUAUUUAUUAGAUUAGGUUUAUUUAAUAUUCUUCUAUCUUUAUUUUAUUUUUGUUUUUACUUUUCUUUAUUUAUUUUUUUCCACUUUUAUUUUACUUUAUUAUUCUAUUUUCUUUAAAUAAAAAUCAAAAAUAUUUUUUGGGAAAGGUUGAAAGUAUCAAUUUUCCUUGAAAAUCAAAGUUUUCAAAAAAAUAUUUUUGGGAAAAAGUUGAAAGUAUUAAUUUUUCUUAAAACUAAAUUUCCAAAAAAAUAUUUUUGGGGAAAAGUUGAAAGUAUCAAUUUUACUUAAAGAUAAAUUUUCAAAAAAUCAAUUUUUGAAGAAAAGUUGAAAGUAUCAAUUUUCCUCGAAAUUAAAGUUUCAAAAGAAUAUUUUUUUUGAAAAAAGUUGAAAGUAUCAAUUUUCUCUGCACAAAAAUAAUCAUUCUUUCCUUUUUUUUAUUUUGAUUUUGAUUUUGAUUUUUUCUUUAAAUAAUUCGACGAUGGAGCUUCUGCAAGUGAAACAGUAGUUUUUCUUGCAUACUCUUGAGGUGAGGAAAUUUUCUCAAUUUUUUGCUAAAAGUAUUAGAGUCAAUUGAGAAUAAUUUCUAAUAAUUAAUUACUUGGUAAGAUUUUAAGGUUCAUUAGAUAACACAAAUUUAAGCUGGUACCAUCUUUUGAUGGGUGUUGUGAGGGUGCUAUAACUUUCCUCACACGUAACCGAACUCUCGAACCCUGUUCUGGUUAGUAGACCUAAACCUAUUCUUUAGACCCUUAACUUUAGUGGUUUCCCUGAAAGGAUAGAUUUCAUAGGUGGUCAAUCGCACCUAGAUAAAAAAGAUUGGUGACAACUCCUAAAAGUCAAUGUCUAGCGAUAAAUCUUCGAAUCUAGACGUUAUGACACUAUAUACUGAUAGUGUAUCAAAUAUAAACUCUUUUUAUUAUUGGUAAGAAAUCAAGUUGAAACAUUUUUUUUAUAUUCUUUACAUUUUCUAAAAUAAAAAGACAGGGAUGAAAAGAAAAUGAGUUUUUUUUUUUUUUGUUUUUAGAAAAGACACUAGAAUGAGGGUUUGUCAUUUUUUAAUUUUUUGCCGAAGAAAAGAAAUAAAGGAAAAUAACAAACUUUUUAAAGAUGAAAUGAGACUACUCUUUUUUUUAGAGGAGAAAACACAAAUUUUCUUAUUCCAUUACAAAUAUGUAAAUUUUUUCAUUUCUUGAAACUUUUUUUACGCAACAUCCUUUUUUAGGAAAAUUUUGAAAAUGCAUAAAUAUGAAAAAAAUAGCAAUACCAAUAAAAAAUUUUCAUUUGAAACAAAGGAAACAAAGUUGUUUUUCAUUUUUUAAAGAUAUUUUGUCUUUUUUUUUUUUUAAGAAUUGCAUACAUAUUCAUUAUAAAAAGCAUUAUAAAAAUUUUUCCUCAUUUGUUUUAAUUAGGGUAAUUUUUGCUAAAAGGUUGGCAUGAUUCUACCUAGGGCUGGCUUGUUAAGGUCUACUAUAUGCUAGAUUUUGAUUCAUACACAUCUAAAGGUUUUCAAUUUGUUUCUCACUAGCAUUCACAUUGGACUAGUAAGACACCAUAUCUUCAUCCAAUACGUGUUACAAAUAAAUAUAGUUCAAUUUGAAUGAAAGUAUUUCGUUAGCCAUUAUAAUGAUUAUGAUCUUAUGAGAGUAUAAAUAAUUUACUCUCUUCCAAAAAAGAUGGAGCUCGGAUAUAUAGUUCAUGCAUAAGAUACAAUGCGCUUAAAAAGUACAAUUUAAAUUCAUUAAAAAAAUAGAGCAAACUUAUUGAAAAAUAAAGCAUUAGAAGGCAGCUAUAGCAUGUCACAUACCUUGAAGAUUUUGGCAAGAUAUGAGCGGCUGAAUUAGAUUGACUUUUAGGAACCCUAGUUCCAAAAGUCCAAACUAAACAUCAGAUUUUUUACCUUUGGGCCAUGGGGACCAUUUCCGAUUAAAUUUGACAUAUAUAAGCCACAAGUCGACAAGUAUUUUACAAUACAUCACAAACCUAUGGUGACAAAUUAACUUUUUGAAUGGACUACAAUUUUUUGUGGAAAAUUAAUAGUUCAAAGUACGUAACUAUAAAAGCACUUAACUUUUGUCUGUGAUUGAGACUUUAUAAGGAGCAACAAGAAAGGCCAUGGAACACCUUCACCUUUCUCCAUGCAAACUGAAUUAUCUUGAUCACGUUAACAAUACAAUUUGUACAACAAGGUGUAUGUAUUGAGUGUUUACAAGGAGCAAAAAACCAAAAAAAAAAGGCUAUGGGGGCAGUUGCGCCCUUUGAGAUCCUAUAACAUUAGACUUUGUUAUAAAAUUCGUUAGAAAAUUUUAAUUCUUCUGUAGUUUGCCCUCAUUGAAAAGGAAAAGAAAUAAAAUACAUAUGACAUCCUUAUUAAAGUUAGAAAGACUGAAAAUAUAAUUAUAAUAAAAAUAAACUAUUUUACAAAAAUAAUAAAAUCCCAUUUGCAAAUAUAAAUAAAAUAAACUUUUAUAAAUAAUUUUUUUAAAAGCCAUCAUUUCAUUUAGAAAACAAUAAAAGUCAACCAAAAAAUGGUUUUCUUUCUACUCCACCUCUUUCAACCUUUCUCAAACUCAUAAGAUUUAUGGUUAGUAGAGAAUAGAACUUGAGAAACAACAAGACAAAGAAAAACUAAAAAUUCAAAGAAACAAAUUAAGAAGUGAACCAUUUUUUCUUUUAACUAUAUUCAAGUAAGUAUUUUUUUUGUAAUUUUUUUCAUUGUUUUUUUAUUAUUUGUUAAUGUGAUAAAAUAUUUAUUUAUGAUUUAAAAUUUUUCAUAUUGACAAAAUAAUUUGAUUGAGGGUGUAAUUUAUAAUUUAUUUAUAUUUAUAUGAAAUGUGAAUUAAGAUUAAUAAUAUUGUAUUUUCUUGAAGUUUAUCAAUAAAGUUAUUUAAUUUUUAUGAAGUUGUUUUUCAUAUAUAAAAUUAUUUUAUUUAAUUAAAAUUUAAAAUCAAAACAAAAUAAAAUUAAGACAAAAUUAUUAAAUCUGAAGAAGACAGAAAAAAAAAAAAAAAGACAAAAUGGUUCAAUAAGGAAAAGAACGUAUUUAUUUUAUCAUGCACAUUGCUUUUCUUAUGUGAAGCAUAAGGUUGAAUGCAAGGAUCAUACAUAUUCUUUUUGCUACAAAGUUAAUAUCAAAUCUUCCUGGUAACGAGAAAAUAAUAUCAUAAACUCAAAACAUUUGAAAAUAAAAGUCUUGACAGCUAUAACCUCGAACUGCGUAAAAUAAUUCAAGGAAUACGUAAGUAAACAUAAAACGACUUUUGCCUGUACUCACUGAUUUGUAAAUGUAAAAUUUAUGCUUUUUUAUUCUGACAUUUAUUUAAUAAACAUUGAAAUUAUCCUAGAAUUGGAGCAGAGUAGAAAGCUAGAAUGAAAUAAAAAAACUCCUGCUUACAUGAUUACAAAGCCAUCAGUCCCUCGAUUCGAAAUAUGGUUCUUUGCAUUGGUUGCUGCGAAGCACUCUCACAAACCGUAGCCUUACUUAAAGCCCCAAAAAACUGAGGAAAAAAGGGGGAGAAUAGAAUGGAAUAAAACACCAUCUUAGUCAAUCCAACUUUGUGCCUUAUACUUUUGGAGAUUUAAAAAAAUGGAUCAUGCAUCUUACUUGUAAUCAUGCUAGCUUCUGUAGCUUUUUCCUACAUGGAAAAGGGGAAAUUUAUUAAAAAAAAUAGAUAAAAGGCAGAUACAACACAACCAGCAAGAUAAGGGGAAAUAAGAAAUUGCAUCAGUGGGAGAUAUUACAUACAUUCUUUUAAUCAAUUACUCCAAAACUGUUAUUUAGAUUCACAAACCUCAUAGGUAGAAGCGACUUCUUGGUUGUCCUGAAGAAAUAAAGAAAAUAUAAUGCAAUUUUCGUCAUACUAGCAGUAGUCACUUUAAAACAGUGGCCAUAGUAGUAGUUUUCAUCGUACCCUUCAUAUAGAAUAUAAAACUCUAAUUAACAGUUACCUGCUGGAAGUAAAAACAGAUUUAUGAUCUGAAUUCUUGGUUGUAACAUGUUGGCCAUUCGAGGAGGUCAUCGGCUCUUUAACAUCUUCUGUUCUCAGAAACCAAACUUGCCUAUAUGUUGUUUAAUCAGUGUAAGUGACCAAAUAACUUUAUAAAUAAUAGCAGACUACCUGUCAUAGAAGUAUUAAUUCCAAUAGCAACUUGGUUUAGAUGGUCCCUCUCUUUUCCCUAUUUUAAAAGAAAUUUUGAAAUAGAUCAAUUCCUUUGUAAUAGCAUGAAAGGAAAACAAAAAGUGAUGACAUCAAGAGAACUAAAAUGAGGGAUCAGUGCAACCCCAGUAAUACUUCAAAAGGCUGUCUCUUGCUUGUAGUGGACAAUCAAAAGAACAUAUCAAAACUACCAUAUGAAUUUUUUUCAGUAAUCGUGGACUAGAUUUUCAUGUGGAAUUUUUUUCAUUAAUUGGGGACAAUCAAUGAACAUAUCAAAUCUCAAUGCCUUUUUCCAUUCAUCUUGUAACGUGUCUUUAAAUCGUGCUUUACGUGUAUCUUCCCAUAAUACACCAAAGAUGUAUAUUCUUGAAAUUAGAAGAAUUUUUUCUAAUAGAUAAUAAAAAAUUCGUCAUUAUCAUCUUGAAAUAAGUAAAUUCAAAUAAAAUAAAAAUAUAUUUAUAAUAUUUGAUGUUAAAAAUUACUUGGAAUUUCUCCCAUAAGCUCAUCUUGACAAAUGGAGGAAUUUUCUUCCAUGUUGGCUGCGCACUGUUAUAGUAAUCUUUAAUCAAUCUCGUAAUUGUUCAGACAAUUGCAAGUUUCAAGAAAUUGUUGUAUAUAACUUAUUAAUUUCAAUAAUAUUAAUUAUUUAAUUGAAUAAACAAAUAAAAUAAACAAUUUAUAAGGACCUUAUCUAUUUUGUAGACAAGCAAUCGGCAUCCUUUCGUUUAGGUUUCUAGAGUGGGUGCACACUAACUAGAUCCUCUAGUCCGUUUGCACAAGCGCUAGGGUGCGUAGGUUUCAAUACCAUUAAUAAAGCCAAAUGACUGUUGCUCGACGGAUGGCAUACCUUGUGUUGGAUAAUCUGUGGCUGGAGUCUCAGUCAUUGAAGGCUCAUAACAUAGAUCCUUUUAUGCUAGAGGGUCUACUGGUGGAGGCUAGACCACCUAUGGCUGUCUAAAUUCAAAGUGCACUGGUGGAGAAUUUAGGUGAGUAGCGCCUCCGAAUAGUGCCCUUCAUCAAGAUGUAGAUUCUGAUCCACCGACUUUUUAUUUAUUAAAAGUUUUUCCUGUAAGCAUUAUAACUGCAAAAUAAAACAUAUAUAGUUAAUAGUUAAAUUAGAUUAAACAAAAUAUAACAUAUAUUAAUAGAAUGUAAUUUAUUUAAUAAUAUAUUUACAAACACAUAUCAAUAACAUAUACAAUUUAAUUAAGAAUAUAUCAACAACAUAAAGGAACAUGUAAGAGAACGUUUUAUAAUAGCAUAUUGUAUUGUAUGUAAAAAAAUAUCACAAAUAAUACAGUUAUGUACAUGUAAAUUUCUAUAUAUAUCGAAUGUCAUCUUAAUUAUCUUCAUCAUAAUCUUCUUAAUCAUCUUCUUCGUCAUUUUCUUCAUUAUCUUCUUCUCUAUCUUCAUCUUCUUCAUCUUCUUCCUUGUGAUCUUCAUCUUCAAUUUAUUCUUUUUCUUCAUUUUCUGUUUGUGCUUGUUCUUCUUUAUCAAGUUGUUCUUGUACAUUAACCUCUUGAUAAUUACCAAGAACAAGAAUUCUUAAAUUGUUAAGUUCCUCUAAACAUGUAACAACUCUCAUAUUAGAUACUCCCAUUUCUUGAUAAACCCUUUCAUUAAGGUUAAUUAUAUCUGCAUCAUGAUUAUUGGAGUUAAAUCUACUCCUAGCCUUUGUCUUAAACACAGCCUGCCAAUCUUGUCGAGCUUUCUUUUUAGAUGGACAGCCAUUAUAGCACACUUGCUGAUCUUGGUCAGCUAACAAAAAUGGUUCGUUACUUGCAAAUACUGAAUUGUAUUUAAUUUCAACAAGACCAUGUUGGGGAUCUACAUGAACACCUUUUUUUUUUUUUAUUUCAAACCAAUGACAUUUAAAGAGUACAAGUUUAUUGCCAAUCCUAAAAUAUACCAAAUCGAUGAUAUAUACACAGAUGUCAUAAAAGUUCAAAAUCAUUGUAACAACUUCCUUUCAUGCAUACACUAUUAUUCAUUAUUUUUCAGGUUUGUCCAUAAUAUAAUGUAUGAGACUUGUAACCAAUGACAAAGUAUCCUUGAUAACACCUAGCCAUAAAUCUUGGUCCAUAAGAGAGCUUAAUGAUACGAUGAUUAGUUUUAUUAGCAUGUUCUUGAACAUAGAGAAAUUUACACAAUAAAUUGAUAAUAUUCUUAUAUUGCAAUGUAUUACAACAAUUCAUAGUUUUAAGUUGAACCUUAAACUUACAAAUUGUUUAAAAUAUUUUUAAAUCUUGCUUCAUGUGCUUUCUCCAAAUCUUCAUCAUUCGUCAACUAUGCAUCACAUAUUAACCCUUCAACAUAUGCCUGAUUUUUUACUUUUUUCUUGAGAUGAUUCAAAAAUCUAAUCAUCAUAGUAGAAAUAAAAGUGAUCAACAACAAUUCGAUUUAGGGUUGAUUAUCUUAAUAAUAAUUUUUUGGGAAAUUUACUACCUUUCAAAUAGAUACAAUUAUUGAUACUGUAAAGGUCCACCAACUUUUACCUUGUAUGGUAAGUUAAUCAGUAGAUACUCCAUACAAUUAAAGAAACUUAAAGGAAAUAUAUUACUCUAAUUUGCAAAUUGUUUCCACAAUGUUGCUUUGCAAUAGCAACAUCUAAUCUAUAUGUAAUUUAGUGGAGCAUAAAUCUCAAAAUAAAUGAGAUAACUCAAUUAUUUAUCCAAAAUUAAGUUAGGUAGCAAGUUAUAAAAAGCAGUUGGAAGUAAUUGUUACAAAAAAAAUGACAAUCCUGACUUUUCAUCAUGAGAAACUUGUCUUCAUCAACAUUUACACAUUGAGCUAUGUUCGAUGCAAACCCAUCAAGAAGGUCUUAACUAUUUCACCCAAGCAUACACUAUUUUUUUAUCAUCCUUGCUCAAAGUGUAUGAUGCUUUAGGCUUGAAUGAUUUCCAAUUUCUUUCCACCAAUUUCUAAUUCCGUUUGUCUAUAGUAGAUUGUCAUAUCUAAUCUUACAUUAAUGUUGUCAUUCAUUUUGCCUUUGACAUCCAUAAUUGUGUAGAAUAAAUGUCAAACACAUUUUUUUCAAUAUGGCAUAAUAUAUAAAUUAUAACGAAUUAGAUUGGUAUGCCAAUAAGGUAAUUCCUAAAAUAUAAUUUACAUCAGUGUGCCAAUUAAGCUUUUGUUUAGAGCAUUUUGUGCCAAAUGUGAUGUCAUCUAUGCAAUCAAUUUGUUUUAAAAUUUUUUCACCUGACAAUCUCUAAAUUAGAAGAUUGUGGUCAACUCUUUUGUCAAAUUUAUUUCUUUGUCUCCUAAAAGGAUGAUUACAAGGCAAAAACACCGAUAACAAUAAAAAAAAAGGCUUCUUUCCACGAUCUAGUUUGAUGCCUUUGUAUGUCUCAUGCAAUAAAGACACAAAUAAUUUCUAUGAGUACUUUGUCUAGAUAAAAUACCAUACAGAAGAAAGUCAUUAAUUAUCCAUAACAAUGUUGCCUUUAAAAGAAUGUUGUUUUAAAAGAGCAUCAUAAUUCUCAACACUAUUAUAUCACAACAUUUGUAACUCAUCUAUCAAAGGUUUUAAAAAAACAUCUAUAUUUUGUGAAGUACUACUCUCUUCCAAGAUGACCAUAUUAGAGAACAAAUAUGGUUACUUCAUGCACAUCCAUGGAGAUAAAUUACAGAUAACAAGUAUAACUGGCCAAGAAGAAUAAAAUCUUGUGCCUUGACCAAAUGGACAAAACCCAACGAGACAUAAACUGAGUCUCACAUUCCAAGGUUCAGCUUCAAAAGAUUCAUGUGUAUGAUUGAAAUAUUGCCAAGCCUCGAUGUCAACUAGGUGAAUAGGCACUUCUUUAGGACUUCAAUUACACACAUGCCAUAUCAUAGACUUUAUAGUUAUUUUUUACCCAACUUUUGAAAUCUUAGCAUAAGUGACAAGUAACGUAAAAUAUUGAAAGGAAUUUUCUUUCACCUAUCCCCACUUGAUUUGCUCGAUUCAUAUCGAGGAUGAUCACAUACCAAACAAUAGAUUAAAUUGGCAUUCUCUUUAUAAAACAAUAUGUAAUUAUUCUCACAUGCAUAUAUUUUAAUUAAAUCAAGGCCAAAUUUUACCAUGUUCUACUUUGUUUGAUAGAAGUUUUUGAGUAAAUUAUCAUCUUCUAGAAGCAUACCUUUUAUCAUCACCAUGAGACUAUCAAAGCAUGUUUUCACUCGUGUUAAACUCCAACUUACAAUUUAAAAGUAGAGACACAAUAGAUAAUGUCCUGUGCUUUAUGUAACCUGACCACAACAAUUCAUCUACAUCAUUCGUUAAAGAAAAAAAAUUUAUGCCUCGUAAUUCAAUUGUACCUGUUUGUUUCUUGACUCACUAUCAAAAUUUGAAUGUAGCGCAUUCAUUACCAUUUUGGUAUAUGGAUUUUUUAUUUCUACUUGACAAAUUGGAUCAAAUCCUUGAUCUUUACUUUUUGAUGAUUGACCUUGUUUAACUUCUCUAAGAAAGUAUCAAUUCACGUAACCAACAACAAAACUUGACAAAAUCGAUUAUUUUAACAUUUGUUGUAAGGGCACCUAAUUCUAUUCUCACUAAUAAAAUUCAUUUGAUAAAAUGCAAAAUUGAUAAACUCUUCGACUCUUUUUAAGAACUCUAUUCAUAAUAAACCCAUUUACAUUUAACCAAUUAUAUAUUUAACUUCUUUCCUUAUCCAUUUUCAAUCCUCUACUAGAAUGCCAUGUCAACCUGAUCAGGUAGAGUGAACGUGAGAUGAAUUAGAUAUUCACGUCAAAUAAAUCAAAUGAUCAAAAUAUCCUUGAUAUUUUAAAAUAUUUUUUUCUUAACAAAAAAAAAUCAUUUUGCCCUUGAGGUUUAUAAUGUGCACAUAAAAAAGAAAAAGGGUUAAGUGGUUUUUGACUUUAAUUAAUUUGUCUUUGUUUAGAGAUGUGAACUUAAUUAGAAAAAAACAUUUUAAAUCGAAUCAAAUCAAAUGUAAAUGGACGAAAUAUCGGGGCGUGAAUAGAAUGCUAUGCUGGUUUAUUUAUUUGCUAGACCUAAACGAAAUCCUUUGGCAGAGCGUUAUUGACUUUGCAACGUCUAGACCUAAUCGAAAUUCUUCGGCUGAGCGUUGUUGACUUUGCAACUUACAAUCAUAUAUUUCAAGCUUUUUCAUCCAUCUAAAACUUGUAAACGUAGACUACGAUUGCGAUGAACAUUUUAGCAUUUUGUUUUAUAUGCCAACCUAAAAGCUUGACUACUGCCUAUUGCCAAAUUGGUUGACUAAUUAGAUUGAUUAUUUCUUCCUUUCACUUCCCGUGAUUCUUUUAUUUAUUUUUUAUUUUUUAAUAUAUUAUAUAUUUUUUUUGUUUCAUUUUCUUUAUCUAUUUUUUUAAGUUUUGAAAAUGUGUUUUAAUUUUUUUUCUCUUUUAAACGCUAAUUAAUACUCACUUUUGAUAAAUUAUUUUUUUAUGAAACAUCACUUUCUAAAAAAUAUAAAACUUUUAUAAAACGUACGCUAAAAUCAAAUUUUUUAUUGAAAAAAAUACUUUGAAAGUGAAAUGAUGUGGGUUAUUCACGAAAAUAGCUUAUCAGUCUGUGACCCUUCUGUAAAUUUCAUCCACGAAUUUUCGAAUUUAUUCUAAAUCUAUAAAUUUGUCAACGCGUUCAAUAUGAACAGAAUGUGCGAAGUGAAGGACAUAUGGAUGGAAAAAUCUAUGGAAAAAAAUCAUGGGCCAGUAGUGCUAUGAAUUCGAAUUUGUUGCUGAGUAGUUUUAUCUGUGCGUCUGCCCCUGCAUGUAGUAUGAUGCCUAUCAUACAACUGAACCAUUGUGACAAAUCCAUUUCAUUGAAAGUAGAUAAAGCUUUUCUGGUGUACAUCACGGAGACUCACAGGAGAUAUUAUCCAUUUUAACUCAAAGGUUUUAUUGUUUUAUCUUACAAAAAAUACAUCACAAAUUUAAGUUUAAAUCUCUACUUAUAUAUUAUAACAAAUCUUUAAAAUCUUUCGAUAUUUAAUUGAAGUGUCACAAAUUUCAUGUGUUAAAGUUUGAUGUCCCCUUCAAAUCCAAUACAAAAUAUACAAAUUCACCGAAUCACACUAAAUAUGGGGACAAACCUAACACAAAGUACACACAAAUCAUAGAAUUACACCAAACAUUGAGAUUCUAGAAGUGACUCCCACAACGUAGUCUUUAGUUCUCAUUCAACUGGUAAUCAUUCUGAUACCAUUUAAAAAAUUCACAUCUAACAUGUGAGGUAUUGUCUACUUUAAUCUAAAUAUUUUAUGAUUUUAUCUCACAAAAAUUAUCUUACAAAUUAAAAUUUAAAUCUCUACUUAUAUAUUAUAAUAUAUUCUCAAAAUGUCUUGAAAUUAAGGUAUCACAUCUAUAGGGCUGAAAAAGUAGAUAUGCAAAUUUUAAUUGGUGUAAUUUCUUGCGUAUUUAAUUUUGUGGAAAUUAAUUUAUUGAAUUAAUUUAAAAAUAUCCAAUAACCUUGAUUGGAGUAUACGAGUCGAUACCAACCAUAUAAUUUGGGUGUUCAACAUGGUUACUUAUUGAUUGGCUAGAGGCAAUAUAAAAAUAUUAAGCAGCAGGCCUUGAACGGGUGCCAUUAGUGAAACGUAUUGACUACGGCAUGCAUGAAUGCUAAAUUUCCACUCCUUACCUAACCCGAACAACAUUUUUUGCGGUUUACCUUAUUUGACUUGAAAGCUUCUUCCCUAUGUUUCACCUAUAUAUACAUCCUUCGCUCAUCUAAAAAACAAUUCAAAAUCCUUCCCUUGGCAACUCUUCCUAAGAGUGAAUAACGAAAAAAAUGGAGUUGUUUUUCCUCUGUGGUCUCACUCUCUUCAUCCUAUUUGUCUCUUUUUCGCUUUUCUCUCUCUUUUCCUCCACCCGCAAGACAAAUGGUAAUUCCCAGACAAACCUUCCACCUGGUAGAACAGGCUUGCCAAUCAUCGGUGAGAGCCUUGAAUUUCUGUCAAAAGGCCGAAAGGGUCACCCUGAGAAGUUUAUAUACGAUAGAAUGGCCAGGUACUCCUCUCAAGUCUUUAGAACAUCAAUACUAGGAGAACCUACGGCCGUUGUUUGUGGUGCAGCUGGGAACAAAUUCUUGUUCUCUAAUGAAAACAAGCUUGUCACUGCAUGGUGGCCAGACUCCGUAAACAAGAUAUUCCCUUCCUCAACGCAAACAUCUUCCCAAGAGGAAUCCAAGAAGAUGAGGAAACUACUCCCUAAUUUCCUCAAGCCAGAGGCCUUGCAAAGAUAUGUAGGGAUGAUGGAUACUAUUGCACAAAGGCACUUUGAGACUGGUUGGGAAGGGCAUCAAGAAGUAACCGUAUUUCCACUUGCAAAGAACUACACGUUUUGGGUUGCAUGCAAGGUGUUCUUGAGCAUCGAGGAUCCUAAACAUGUAGCGAAAUUUGCUGAACCUUUUAACGUUUUGGCCUCUGGAUUAUAUCAAUUCCCAUCGACUUGCCAGGAACACCUUUCAACCGUGGCAUCAAGGCUUCAAACCUGAUAAGGAAAGAAUUGAGCGCCAUUAUCAAACAAAGGAAGAUUGAUCUUGCAGAGAAAAAAGCAUCUCCUACACAAGACAUACUGUCACAUAUGUUGUUAACAACCGAUGAGAAUGGGCA
RNAcentral lists this long non-coding RNA (22343 nucleotides) under Durio zibethinus. Its description in RNAcentral is "long non-coding RNA (DZIB_LNC001629)". The record is from RNAcentral. Lineage: Eukaryota; Viridiplantae; Streptophyta; Magnoliopsida; Malvales; Malvaceae.